UGUUGUUGCUUGUGUCCCUGGAACCAGCCAUGCCUGAAGUGGAUAUGCACUGAAGCUUAUAAUGACAUAAGCCAAUAAAUUCAUUUUCUGUUUUUCUAAAUAAAUUAAUUAAUUAAUUUUAAUUUUUUUAAAAGUAGGCUCCGCACCCAGUGUGGGGCUUGAACUUAGGACUCUGAGCUCAAGAGCUGCAUGUUCUACCAACUGAGCCAGCCAGGAGCCCCUCAUUCUCUUUUGAGACUGAUUUGAGUUGGGCUUAGGAAAGCCACAACCAAAAGAAUUCACACGUAAUAACAGCCCUUGCCCCAUCCAUCCUGCCACCAAGCAUGCAGGGGGAAGUAGGUUCAACUCGAACAGCCUUAAGUUAAAAAAAGAAGAAGAAUUCAUUGACUCACAGAAUAGGAAAGCCCAGGAGUUUUCGUCAGCUUCAAGCGCAGCUGGGACCAGGUGCUCAAAUGGUUCUAGGGUGAAGGCUUUUUAUACAUCAUCUCAUCUAAACCUCAGGCCAAGAAGCAGGAGUAAAAACCCCAUUUAUGGAGGGAGAGACUGAUGCUCAGAGAAGUUAAGUUACACAGAGAGAGAGUGAACGGGGAGACAAGCAGAGGGAGAAGGAGAGAGACAAUCACAAGUAGAGUCCACGCCAGAGUGUGGAGCCCCACGCAAGGCUCGACCCCACGACCCCACGAUCCCAAGACCACGACCGGAGCCAAAACCAAGAGCCAGAUGCCCAACCAACUGAGCUACCCAGGAGCCCCUUGAUUUGAUAUUUUUAGAAACUUGUGACCCAAUUCAUUGUUCCCUCUUUAGAAAUUGUAACAGGCGUGCAUUGGUUUCCCGUGGAUGGGGUGACAAAUAUCCAUCACAAACUUGGUGGCUUAAAAUGACAGAAAUUUAUGCCCUCAGCCAUCUGGAGGCUAGAAGUCCACAAUUAAGGUGUCUGCAGGGGUGGCUCCUUUUGGAGGCUCUGAGGGAGCAUUUACCCCAUGCCUGUCUCUUAGCUUCUGGUGGUUGUCAGCAACGGAUUGUCACCAAGGAGGGUGUCCCUUGGCUUUGUGACCACAUGGCUCUGAUCCCCUGCCUCUGUCUUCACGCUCCUUCUCUGUGUCUGUCCUCUAAUAAACAUACCCACCACUGGACUUGGGCCCUCUCUAAUCCAGUAUGACCUCAUCUUUUUUUUUUUUUUUGAAGAUUUUAUUUAUUUAUUUGACAGAGACAGACACAGCGAGAGAGGGAACACAAGCAGGGGGAGUGGGAGAGGGAGAAGCAGGCUUCCCGCAGAGCAGGGAGCCCGAUGCGGGGCUCGAUCCCAAGACCCUGGGAUCAUGACCUGAGCCGAAGGCAGACGCUCAACGACUGAGCCACCCAGGCGCCCCAGUAUGACCUCAUCUUAAUGAUACGCUACCCAAAAAUAUGGCACUUGGGGUACAUUGAAUGUUUUAAGCUGAAGGAAUCUGAGAAACACAGGGGCAGGAAGGACUUUUUGAAGCAGGUCAUACAUAGACCCUCCGGUGAAAGGUGCCCUCCCAGUGCUGGGAGGAACGGGGCACUCUUAUCUCGGAAGACCGAGGGAAGCCGGGAGAAUCUGAAGGAACAGGCCGCGCUAAGUUUCCCCGUUUGCUACUCUUAGCUCACAUCCCUUUUUGUCCUAUCACAUUUUCCCACAACUCUCCCCUCUUCAUCAAAUCUAGUAUAAAAAUACUCAAGUGUAACUGUUUCUUUGGGUCUUUAUUUGCUUGUAAAAAACUGCUGU
Molecule: long non-coding RNA, 1747 nt
Organism: Mirounga angustirostris (Northern elephant seal)
Lineage: Eukaryota; Metazoa; Chordata; Mammalia; Carnivora; Phocidae
Exons: 4
Source: RefSeq, a predicted model, not a curated record